GCCUGGGUGGCUCAGUCGGUUGAGCGUCUGACUUCAGCUCAGGUCACGAUCUCGCAGUCCGCGAGUUUGAGCCCCGCGUCGGGCU
This 85-nucleotide transfer RNA is filed under the name Felis catus (domestic cat). It matches the Rfam family "tRNA". Rfam says of the family: Transfer RNA (tRNA) molecules are approximately 80 nucleotides in length. Their secondary structure includes four short double-helical elements and three loops (D, anti-codon, and T loops). Lineage: Eukaryota; Metazoa; Chordata; Mammalia; Carnivora; Felidae. The record is from Rfam by way of RNAcentral.